Molecule: long non-coding RNA, 550 nt
Filed under: Homo sapiens (human)
Lineage: Eukaryota; Metazoa; Chordata; Mammalia; Primates; Hominidae
Description: non-protein coding lnc-ALKBH8-3:1
Source: RNAcentral
GGAAAAACAGAUGGAGACUAUUACACCCUGGAUGACAUGUUUGUCUCCAAAGCAGCUGAGAGAGAACGUCUUGGUGAAGAGGAAGAGAACCAAAGGAAAAAAGCUAUUGCUGAGCAUCGGAGUCUUGCUGCACAAAUGGAAAAAUGUCUGUAUUGUUUUGACAGCUCUCAAUUUCCCAAGCAUCUUAUUGUUGCAAUAGGUGUUAAGGUUUAUUUAUGUUUACCCAACGUACGGUCUCUUACUGAGGGGCACUGCCUGAUAGUCCCUUUGCAGCACCAUAGAGCAGCUACUUUGUUGGAUGAAGACAUCUGGGAGGAGAUCCAGGUCAGCAUAAUAAAUGUUCAUUAUCAUUUUAAAACUCAUGAGCAAUUUUUGUAAAUUAUUGUGAUAAAUUCCAAUAGGUAUAACUUCAUUUAAUGAUUUUAGUUUCUAAACUUAAACACGUGUGUUUUCAUAGUUGUAUAUAUCUGUGGAUCAUGAUGUUUCCAUCAUUUUAUUUCCCUUGUGUACUCCAGAUUUUGAGACCUUUUAUCUACGAAAUAAACUGUGA